Capsicum annuum is the source of this 327-nucleotide long non-coding RNA. RefSeq lists it as uncharacterized. NCBI's taxonomy places the organism in Eukaryota, Viridiplantae, Streptophyta, Magnoliopsida, Solanales, Solanaceae. The transcript has 2 exons. The record is from RefSeq and is a predicted model, not a curated record.
CGGACACGAGUUCUCGAAUUAUUACGCUAAAAACGGGGGUUCCUUAUCCAUUAUCUAUAGUCUAGCUAUCCCAAUGGGUGGAGGGAGAUGGCAGUGGUUCGAAGACUUCUACACAAAACCCCCUACUUACCCAAGUCAAUAAAACCCCAACUGAUAAUAUUGAAGUAGGGUAGGUCUUGACACAAGCAAUAAGGAAGCUCACCUUCUCGAUAAACUCCAAACCAAAUGAGAUAACGCAUAACAAGACUCCGAUGACGGUCUACAGGGUGUGGAUUAAAAGAAAUGCAAGAAGAUCCAAUGCUGAGAAGAAAACUACAAUACAGUUGA